AUACGGAGGGUGCAAGCGUUAAUCGGAAUUACUGGGCGUAAAGCGUACGUAGGCGGUUCGUUAAGUUAGAUGUGAAAGCCCCGGGCUUGACCUGGGAACUGCAUUUAAAACUGGCGAACUAGAGUUGAGUAGAGGGGAGUGGAAUUUCAGGUGUAGCGGUGAAAUGCGUAGAGAUCUGAAGGAACACCAGUGGCGAAGGCGACUCCCUGGACUCGAACUGACGCUGAGGUACGAAAGCGUGGGUAGCAAACGGGAUUAGAAACCCUAGUAGUCC
This 274-nucleotide ribosomal RNA is filed under the name uncultured bacterium. RNAcentral's name for it is "partial 16S ribosomal RNA". It matches the Rfam family "Bacterial small subunit ribosomal RNA", at positions 523 to 796 of the family's 1533-position model. The record is from RNAcentral.